CAGGUGGUUGCCCAGGUCCGUCUUAUGGAUAGGGCAGCUCUGGCCACGAGUGCAGGGACUGGACUAGAUGACCUCUCGAGGUCCCUUCCAGUCCUACGAUUCUGAUUCCUUGUUUGUCUUUUCCAGGAUUCAUGGCCAAACCAGCUGCCAAGUACUAGAGAAAUCAUUCAGUCUUCUCUUCUCAGGCAGAGCCUGCUGACCAGCAAUGCCUGGAGUUAGCGGCUGGACGCAGCAGCACACAAUAACACGAAGCAUUUAAGAACCUCAAAGCACUUUACAAAGGACCGAGAAAAGCUGCUGUUAUUAAAACAAAGGAUUCUGGCUCUGUCCGCUGGAGGGUACCACAUGUUACAAAAGCCAGUCAAGAAUCUGGGGCGCUGUGUUAUGGUAGGAUUCGGCUGUUGCACAGUUUCGGUUGUAGCUGGUGGUGUGGUUUUGGCAGAGCCCAGGGGCCAGUCCGUUGUCCCACUGAAAACCACAUGGACCUGGUGGUUGCUGCUGGGAGAGCGCAUGGUGAGGAUUACAGCUCAGCAUUGUGACAGGCCAGAACGAGAGAGGUCCUGUGGCUGGGUGAGUGUUUGGGGGACCAGACGGGAGCCCCACACAAGAAGGCAGAGAUCCUGCUGGAGGCAAGGACGUGGCUGGGAUGGAAGCAAGCGCUGACUCUGAGGCUGAAUGACAUGGGGGCAGUGGGAACGGGACACGGUACCACCCUUCAGUGAUCUGUGUUACUUUAUCCCAUUCUUGGUUUAAAUAGUGAAAAAAGCAGCCGGUGUUUCUGACCGAGUGUUCCUGAGCCUGGCUGGCAGGAAUUCCAGCAUCUGCUGCAGUCCGGCCCAGUUGCAGCACCAGGAUGUGGCCAGGAGCUGCUAGACAGGUUUGGUAGCUGAGUAGGCAGGUACCAGAUGGUGUCUUGGGUGGAUAGUGGCCAGCCCAGCAGCUCCCAUAUGCCGUGGUGAUACAGCAGAUAAUUGUAACCCCAAAUCCCUUUAUCUGGUGAACCUGCCCCCCAGGGUCCUUCACCUUCACAAGGCUUGUGAGCAGAGUGGUUUUCAGUGUGGUCUGAAAAGGGACUGUGUGAAAAAAUGGCCACCUCUUAGUCUGCAGAUCAGGCCCUGUGUGAAUUCAGUGUCCCGGCUGCAAGACGGAAAGAACCCGGCUGGAAUCCCAGGUGCAGGGGGCACGUUCUGGGUCCGUCUGAUUUGCCUGGCCCGUGGGAGAGGGUCAUUAAGAAAUAUUCUGGCUGGUAUUUUUUCUGUAAAAGACCCAACUGCAUUUUGUUUGGUACAAAUGCUAUUGCAGGGGACUGUGAAUGUGCUUUGAUGUCUGGCUAAUAUGCAGUGGUGCUUUUCCUCCUUCUUACGCUGAAUAUCUGCUUGGUGAGAAAAGGAACUGUGAUCUGGCUCAGUCAGAAUGGAGUGCUGUCGCUCCCUGUCAGCCGGGGUCCUGGCCCUGUUCGGCCGGGGGAGCAAAGGGUCCUGCUGUUCUACUCCACAGUAAUCUCCGUGCAAAGGAGCCCAGGAUGUGUGUGGUUCAUAGACUUUAAAACCGAUUGUCUCAUUUGUUUGUUCCACAUGCUGAGAGGGAUCCCAAAUACAGAUAAGACGGCUGCUCAGAAGCAGAUGUAUUUAUUUUCCAGCUUCUCCUUGCGUGUUCACAGUGAGCCGGCAGGGGAAGCCACCCUUCAAUAUGGGUUGUGCUUCCAUCUGUAGAAGAGGUUUCCAACCGUCAGAGGUGUGAGGUUUUGGAACAGCCUCCCAAGAGGAGGAAUGGGGUUGGCGUGGCUAGGCAGGCCAAUAAACUGCCCAGGCAGCAUCUGAAGAAAGAGACAGGAGCAGGGCGCUAAUUCGAAAUGGGCGCAGCCGGGCAGAACAGGAGGGGCCCGUAUAAAGCCAGGAGCUGAGUGCAGCGAUGGGGGCUCCCUGGGAGGAGGGAGCUGGGGCUGUCCAGCCCAGAAAGGGGGAAAGUCAGAUAAGUAGGAAGAAGCCCAGGGAAACAGCAGUGAGGAGUAGGACCAUACAGACCUUGGCUGCUUUUAUAAGGUCCCUGGGCUGGGUCCAAGUGUAGAGGGUGGGCCCGGGCUCCCCUACCAGCCACUGGGAAGUGGCGCAGGAGAUGCCAGUCGGACUGUGGGUCUGGAAGACUUUGAUUUCCCCAGAAGGGUAGGACCUUAGUGAGCUGGUCGGAGGGCCAAGCCACAAACAGGAAGCAGCAGCUCUGGGAGUGAGAAGAGCCACAGGGUGACAGAGACGGCGGGUAGAGAGACUGCCAGAGGAGGGAAGCACAGUGCCUGGCAAGAGCUAAUCCCCAGAGCCGCCAGGAGGAGGCGCCACAUGCUGUGACAGACACUUUGCUCUGGUGGCCCCUCAGUCGGAAAGCCAGCGUAUUGGUCGGUUUCGAUGUAAUCUCUUGCCUGUGUUUUGUGUGGGCAGUGUUCCUUUGCAAACCCUGCUAAUGAGGCUGCUUCACGGGAUAAUAUUCAGAAGUAAGUUCACUGCACAUUUUAUCCUACGAGUCCUUGAAGUGGGCAGUUGGGGGCUGGGAGUUCUGCCGUGAGUUGGAGGUUUAAAUGACGGUAAAAAGGACUUGGCGUAACACUGGAACAAAGGGGCCUCGCAAAUUAUUAACACCCCCCCCCCCCUUUCCUGGCACGAGCAGCCAAGGGGUGCACAGGCUGAAAUACCGGCUAUGCCGGGUGGGCAGCUUGUUGAUCAAAGUUCACAUCUGAUCUUGUUGUUUCAGACAUUGGUUAUUUCAUUGACAUUUCUGUCUUCCAAGUUUUACCUGAGUGAACAGAUUACUCACCAAAAACUGGCUACGUUUGGCAAAGUUAAUUAUAAAACAAAGAAGGAGGGAGAAUUUAGCCAAAGCAAUUGUGAUGGGUCUUAAGACCAUGAAAACGGUUGGGUAUGUGGUGGAAAUAGAAAGAUCACAAAGGGGACAUAUCUCUGUUGGCCACUGGUCUGUCACCUGGACACUGAUUUUUAGACACCUCAGAUUGAAAUGACUAAUAUGGGUUGUCUCUGUUCAUUUCAGCUUCACUUCUGAUUUUCAUUUUUACAGUAAGAAAAUUCAUAAGAACAGCCAUAAUGGGUCAGACCAAAGGUCCAUGUAGCCCAGCAGUCUGUCUUCCAACAGCAGCCAAUGUCAGGUGCCCCAGAGGGAAUGAACAGAACAGCGCUGCCCUAGGUCAACAUCUGCCUACGGGACCGGAGGCGUGUGAAGUAAGACUUGGCGGCUUCCCCUGGAAGGAAAGGACAGUGACCCGUGGACAGCAGAGCCGUUCUCGGCUAUUGCAGCAGUGUGUUUGCGGCCCUCAGCCUGCGCGAUCCCCGAUGCGGAAGUCGAUUUACAAGCCAGUUAAAACAUGGAUAAGCCUUGAUCACAGCGUGUGAACACAACGCACAUUUCCAAGCAGUGAAACGCGCAGAGUGGGCACUCCCUCCCCCGCCUCCCGCUUGGGGAAUUGAAAUCAGAAGCAUUUUUUUCUCCCCAGAGUAUUGCUCCGUGGGGUUAUUGCAACAACUGGGCAUCACUGAUGCUCCAGCCUCUCCUGUCUCCUCUUAACCCUUUCCCUUGUGCCAUAGCAAUCCCCGGCUGGCCACUCGGACCAGCGUCACGGUUGCUUUGUGCUACUGGAGUGGUGCAAAACAGCUGGAUCUGGCCCGUUGCCAUUGACUUAUUCAGGCAUGUGCUAUUGCUUCUGAGCUAGUGACUCGAAGCACUUACACAAGCUAUUCCAGCUGGGAGCCAGGUGUGUUUCCUCAGUAGUGAGGACCAUGGCCACCUGGGGAGAGCAAGGCUAAGAAAGAAUUUGACUGAAGGAAGCUUUGCAUAAUUAUACCACUAACCCUGUCAAAUGUGUCAGGCAGUUGUUGAGAGGGCUGCCUGGUCUUUCCCCGAGAGAAGCCCCCCACUGACUCCUCACUCCCCCCCCUGUAUGUGUGCACAAUGAUACAAUUGUGAUGUUGUAUGAUACCAUCAUAAAUUACAUGAUUACACGCUGUUUCCCCCAGGACUGCGUGACAGGGCGAUGGUCUGUCCCUGCCCUCCCAGGCACCAGGAGCUGCUCAGACCACUUCUUUCCGUGUCCACUCUGUAUUUUAUUCCCGCCCCUUCCACCAACACCUGAACCGUGCGACAUCCCAGUUUGUGAUCCCUACGGCUUUCUGUUCUUCUCUGGCAGGGCCUAGGACAAGAGCUCUCUCCUGCCCCUCCCUGGAGCCCUUCCUUCCUGGCUUUUAUCAGGGUUAACGGAGGGCUAAUUAGUUCCUCACCUCCCCACCCUCUCCUCCUGAUUUGCCAAUUGCUCAAUCGACCAGCACUUGGGACACUAACCGAGGCCACAGUGCCCAGGGUGCUGACCCCUCUGGCAGGCCUCCGCCCUGGGGCACAGACUCGUGCGGUGCACAGGAGGGGACAGCUGUAGGGAUGAGUCGAGGCUGCCCAGAGGAGACUGUCGUCUGCAGGGUCCUGCCUUGUUAGCUGGGGAGGUUGGAAGGGGUGUGGUGAAUGAAGCAGGGACGUGCAGGGUGAGCCAGGCUGGCCUUGUGCUUAAGGCAGCUGCCAUUUUUUAUGUCGUGCAUCUGAAAGUCCCGCUGGUCGCCGCUGCAAAUCGGACAAUGUGUUCUGUGCUGGGCGCGACUCAGUUAGUGCCGGGAACUGGGGGAGGGGUUUUCCUACAGCCACUGAGUGGCAGCCAGGCAGGGUGUUAGGGGCCUGGCCCAGGGCUCUGCACAAUGUGAGCAAUACCCCCCACCCCCGAACAUCUCCUGCAGGGCUUCACUGGCCGGGGGGCAACCUCCUGCCUCUGGCUCAUUGACUCGGAUAUUCUCCGUAACUUGGGGGAGCUCAUCAGCUAGCGGGUGGGAUGGGUCCUCCUCAUCUUCCGGGCCCAGCUGUUCACCGCUAGGGUUGACAAAGCAGGAGGUUGAAGGGCUGCCGGUUUGGGUUUUUAUGCUGGAGUCUCCUGACCGUCUGUAUAAGGCUCCUGAAGCGUGUGUGACGUCUGAGGCCUACGCCACGACUGUAACGCAAGUAAUAACACAGUCAAACCAAGAAUCAAGCCCCUUUCUACUGGGCUAUUUAUGUUUAUAAUGUAUUGGUGCUCUUCCGGUGGCAUCCAGACUCGUUACAUCUCAAACCAGGGUUCAAGUAACAAGACUGAACGGUGAAAGGGAGCAAAGAGGCAGGCUUUAGAUCAAGUGCAGGUAGGAUUGAUAAUAUUUAAAAACCGGAUACUCCAGCAGGAGUGCCAGAACCUCCCCUGCCCCGCCUCUUCCCGAGGCUCCGCCCCCAUUCACACCUCUUCCCCUGAGGCUCCGCCCCCAUCCACGCCUCUUUUCCCCUCCCACCCCCCUCGCUUGAGUCAGGAGGGACAUGCCUGUGGAGCCGGGCUCGGAGCUGCAGCACCUGAUGCAGGUAAGAGGUGGCUCUGGCGGAGUAGGGCCUGGUGUGGGCGAUGACCCAUCACCUCACCUCCGCCACCUGCAGUAACUGAACUUUUGGUGUCCGGUCAGUAGAACUGAUGGGAUACUUUCAGGUCCCCUUUUUGACUAGACUUUCCGGUCCAAAACCAGGCACCUGGUUACCUUCCGCACUGGUUUGGCUGGCAAGAUUACCCGUGUUCUGCCUGGUACACUGUGAUCGAUGGACCAUGAGAGAGGGUGAAUGCCAUGGUCAUGUACACCCCCCCCCCCAAAAAAAAACAGCCCAUUUCCGGUCUUCACAGGUGCAAAACAUCCAGGUGUAGCUGGAGUCGUUCUGUCCCUCGCACCUUCCAAUGAGCUGCCUCACUCAGGGUGAUGUUUGCCAACACUAUUGCUGCCAGCUCAUCUGGAGAGGCCGGCCAGUCGGGCCUGCCUAGAAAUCGUGGUAAAGGAGUAGAUGAUUCAGGGCAGGUCUACACUUAAAACGCUGCAGCACUUCAGGGAAGAUACCACUACAUCGACAGGAGAACAUCUCCCAUUGGUGUAGUGAAUUCACCUCCACGAGAGUUGGUUGCCAUGUUGACGGGAGGGUUUCUAUAGCUCGGUCUAUACCGGGGUUAUAGAAACUGUGUCGCUCAGCAGGGUGGAUUUUUCACACCCCUGAGUGACGUAGUUAGCGCCAUGUAAGUUUAUAGAGUUGACCUGGCCUCAGUGACAGAGCAGGUGCAUGAUAAUUGUGGUAGAUUUGGGAGGCAGAAACGCACUGCCCUCCUACCCCCACCCAAGGGUGCUGACUGAAGACUACCCAAGGACAGCAGUGGCUUGUUUGGUAGCCUCCAAUCUAGGAUCCGGUUCCUGUGAAGCCACCUGGAUUGGCAGAUUUGCCAACCCCAAGCAGUGUUUUAGCACCCAAAGCCUUUCUCUCACUCUCUCAUUUGUGAGAUUUGAGGUUUUGUGCUUUUAUGUGUUUGGGCUUUAAAAAUGGAGUGUUGUUUCUCCAGACUCAGGUCAUUCUUACACAAACUGCCCCAUGUAAACCCAGGGUGAACCUGCCCUUAGCACUGGUCCAGCCCUCACUGAGCAAGGCCAUGGGGCCCCACCAGUUAUAACAAAUACAUUGGACUUUUACAGCAUCUUUCUUUGAGGAUCUGGCUGUGCCUGUGUCAGGGUUUCCUCCCCACUCUGAACUCUGGGGUACAGAUGUGGGGACCUGCAUGAAAGACCCCCUAAGCUUAUAAGUACCAACUUAGGUUAAAAACUUCACCAAGGCACAAAUCCUUUCCUUGUCCUUGGACAGUAUUGCUGCCACCACCAAGUGAUUUAGAGAAAAAUUCGGAAAAAGACCGCUUGGAGUCCCUAUUUCCCCCAAAUAUCCCCCCAAGUCCCUUCACCCCCUUUCCUGGGGAGGCUUGAGAAUAAUAUACUAACCAAUAGGUUAACAAAGUGAGCACAGACCAGACCCUUGGCU
Molecule: long non-coding RNA, 6897 nt
Organism: Chrysemys picta bellii (western painted turtle)
Lineage: Eukaryota; Metazoa; Chordata; Testudines; Emydidae
Source: RefSeq, a predicted model, not a curated record